GACGAACGCUGGCGGCGUGCUUAACACAUGCAAGUCGAACGGAAAGGCCCUGCUUGCCGGGUACUCGAGUGGCGAACGGGUGAGUAACACGUGGGUGAUCUGCCCUGCACUUCGGGAUAAGCCUGGGGAAAUGGGGCUAAUACCGGCUAGGGGCCAUUGGUAGAGAGAGGGGGGGAAAGGUGUUUCGGUGUAGGGUGAGCUCGCGGCUGAUUAGCUUGUUGGUGGGGUAAUGGCCUACCCAGGCGGCGAUGUGUAGCCAGUCUGAGAGGGUGGACGGCGACACUGGGACUGAGACACGGCCCAGACUCCUACGGGAGGCAGAAGUGGGGAAUUUUGGACGAUGGGCGAAAGCCUGAUCCAGCAAUGCCGCGUGUGUGAAGAAGGCCUUCGGGUUGUAAAGCACUUUUGUCCGGAAAGAAAUCCUUGGCCCUAAUACGGUCGGGGUAUGACGGUACCGGAAGAAUAAGCACCGGCUAACUACGUG
RNAcentral lists this ribosomal RNA (484 nucleotides) under uncultured bacterium. RNAcentral describes it as "partial 16S ribosomal RNA". It matches the Rfam family "Bacterial small subunit ribosomal RNA", at positions 28 to 507 of the family's 1533-position model. The record is from RNAcentral.